This 337-nucleotide unclassified non-coding RNA is filed under the name soil metagenome. Its description in RNAcentral is "partial contains 5.8S ribosomal RNA, internal transcribed spacer 2, and large subunit ribosomal RNA". The stretch from base 1 to 120 matches the Rfam family "5.8S ribosomal RNA", at positions 35 to 154 of the family's 154-position model. The record is from RNAcentral.
GAUGAAGAACGUAGCGAGAUGCGAUAAGUAGUGUGAAUUGCAGAAUUCAGUGAAUCAUCGAAUCUUUGAACGCACAUUGCGCCCCAUGGUAUUCCGUGGGGCAUGCCUGUUCGAGCGUCAUUUACCCCCUCAAGCUCCGCUUGGUGUUGGGCGUCUGUCCCGCUUCGCGCGCGGACUCGCCCCAAAGGUAUUGGCAGCGGUCGUGCCAGCUUCUCGCGCAGCACAUUGCGCUUCUCGAGGCACCGGUGGGCCCGCGUCCAUCAAGCUCACCCCCCCAGUUUGACCUCGGAUCAGGUAGGGAUACCCGCUGAACUUAAGCAUAUCAAUAAGCGGAGGA